GUGGAUCGCCACUGCGCCCGCUCUCGCGUUUCCUGUGCCAGGGCGUCUGGAUCAUUAGGGGCGCGUUGUCCUGACUCCGCUCGGCCCCGUGUUUUCCUUGGGUCCUGUCGCAGCCGUCCAGGCUCCGCCUCACUCAUCCCAAGGGGUGGAGUUCGGGGCUGGAAUGGCGAGCGGCGCUUGGGUGCCAGGAGGCCACGUGGGGAAGCAAAGGCGCCUCCUUUCUCCCUCGACUUCCCUUUUUUCAUCGCACGCCUCGCACGCUUUUGCCCGGGCAGGUGACGCCGGGCACCCGCAGGAUAGAGCCAGGAGUCAACUUUUAACUCCACACCACAGUAGGAAGCAGCUAAACAGAAAAAAAAUGGGAUAAAGUUUACCUUUCAGAAAUAUGCCAAGUAACACACUGCAGCACACUAAGACUACGAAGACAGGAGGCUGAGUGAAGCCAAAUUACCCAGAAGCAACUGUCCUUUUGCAUUCUUACACCACAGUGCGAUGAUUAACUUUGGGCAUGUAAAAAGAAGAACAUACAGAUGUAAUUGCUGGAAACAUUGUGAAGAAGCUGAACUAAGACUGAAGUUUAGAACUAAAUUGUGCCGAUUUUUCUUCAUUAACAUUCUACUUGUGGCACCUUAGAGACUAACAAAUUUAUUCGAGCAUAAGCUUUCGUGGGCUUAAACCUACUUCAUGCAUGCAUCCGAUGAAGUAGGUUUUAGCCCACAAAAGCUUAUGCUCAAAUAAAUUUGUUAGUCUCUAAGGCCUAGUCUACA
Molecule: long non-coding RNA, 767 nt
Filed under: Gopherus agassizii (Agassiz's desert tortoise)
Lineage: Eukaryota; Metazoa; Chordata; Testudines; Testudinidae
Description: lncRNA (ENSGAGG00000015486.1)
Source: RNAcentral